GGGAGUAAAACUACUGAAUUGGGCCACAAGCAAAUGAAUAAACUGAACGACUCUUAACCAAACCUAAUAUAUUUAAUCCAAACACACAAGUCUUUCAUUUCUUCCCUCCUCCCUUCCUUCUCUUACUCCCCAACACCCCCUCUUCAAGCACAAUUAAUUAUAUGGUUAGAUUCUACUGCGUGAUCAGCCCUGUUCUAGGUGGUGGGCACGCCAAGGUGAAUGAGACCAAACAAGAGUCUUGCCCUCAUGGGGUUUACAUUUGGAGACAGAGUCGAUCUGUUGCCCAACCUGGAGUGCAGUGGCGCGAUCACAGCUCACUGCAGCCUCAAACUCCCUGGCUCAAGGGGUUCUCCCACCUGAGCCUCCCGACUAGCUGGGACCACAGGUGCACGCCACGACGCCUGGGUUUGUUUGUUUGUUUAAUAGAGACGAAGGUCUCACCAUGUUAUCUGGGCUCAAGCGAUCAUCCCCCCUCCUCCUCCUAAAGUACUGGGAUUACAGUCCCAAGCUAUCUUGCCCGACCUGGGAAACAGACGUUAAGGAAGAUAACAAUCUAUUUUCAGAGAGCGAGUUUAUAAAACCAAUGCAAUGGGUAAAUAUGAAGUGUGAAUAGGAGGAGAAGCUAAAGAGUGGUCGGAGAAUCUAAUGCAAGCUACGGGAGAAAGAAACUCAAGUGCAAAUGCUGCCUCAGGAAUAAACGUAAAAAGAGACUUUCAAGUGCAAAUGCUCCCUCAGGAAUAAAAUAAUCUUGAGACUCUCAAGUGUAAAUGCUGCCUCGGGAGAACCGAACGGCGAGCUGGAGCCCAUACGCAACGAGAUUAGAGAGGAAGGCAGAAGCCAGAGCACAUGAAUAAAUGAGCAUCCAUUUUGUUUCAGAAAUGAUCGGAAACCAUUUGUGGGUUUGUAGAAGCAGGCAUGCGUAGGGAAGCUACGGGAUUCCGCCGAGGAGCGCCAGAGCCUGAGGCGCCCUUUGGUUAUCGCAAGCUGGCUGGCUCACUCCGCACCAGGUGCAAAAGAUGCCUGGGGAUGCGGGAAGGGAAAGGCCACAUCUUCACGCCUUCGCGCCUGGCAUUGUGAGCAACCACUGAGACUCAUUAUAUAACACUCGUUUUCUUCUUGCAACCCUGCGGGCCGCGCGGUCGCGCUUUCUCUGCCCUCCGCCGGGUGGACCUGGAGCGCUUGAGCGGUCGGCGCGCCUGGAGCAGCCAGGCGGGCAGUGGACUAGCUGCUGGACCAGGGAGGUGUGGGAGAGCGGUGGCGGCGGGUACAUGCACGUGAAGCCAUUGCGAGAACUUUAUCCAUAAGUAUUUCAAUGCCGGUAGGGACGGCAAGAGAGGAGGGCGGGAUGUGCCACACAUCUUUGACCUCAGGUUUCUAACGCCUGUUUUCUUUCUGCCCUCUGCAGACAUCCCCGAUUGAAAGAACCAGAGAGGCUCUGAGAAACCUCGGGAAACUUAGAUCAUCAGUCACCGAAGGUCCUACAGGGCCACAACUGCCCCCGCCACAACCCACCCCGCUUUCGUAGUUUUCAUUUAGAAAAUAGAGCUUUUAAAAAUGUCCUGCCUUUUAACGUAGAUAUAUGCCUUCCCCCACUACCGUAAAUGUCCAUUUAUAUCAUUUUUUAUAUAUUCUUAUAAAAAUGU
Molecule: long non-coding RNA, 1643 nt
Filed under: Homo sapiens (human)
Lineage: Eukaryota; Metazoa; Chordata; Mammalia; Primates; Hominidae
Description: partial CAI2
Source: RNAcentral